UUCGCCCUUAGAGUUUGAUCCUGGCUCAGGACGAACGCUGGCGGCACGCUUAACACAUGCAAGUCGAACGAGAGAAGAGAAGCUUGCUUUUCUGAUCUAGUGGCGGACGGGUGAGUAACACGUGAGCAAUCUGCCUUUCAGAGGGGGAUACCGAUUGGAAACGAUCGUUAAUACCGCAUAAUAUAAUUGAACCGCAUGAUUUGAUUAUCAAAGAUUUAUCGCUGAAAGAUGAGCUCGCGUCUGAUUAGCUAGUUGGUAAGGUAACGGCUUACCAAGGCGACGAUCAGUAGCCGGACUGAGAGGUUGAUCGGCCACAUUGGGACUGAGACACGGCCCAGACUCCUACGGGAGGCAGCAGUGGGGAAUAUUGCACAAUGGAGGAAACUCUGAUGCAGCGAUGCCGCGUGAGGGAAGAAGGUUUUAGGAUUGUAAACCUCUGUCUUCAGGGACGAAAAAAGACGGUACCUGAGGAGGAAGCUCCGGCUAACUACGUGCCAGCAGCCGCGGUAAUACGUAGGGAGCGAGCGUUGUCCGGAAUUACUGGGUGUAAAGGGAGCGUAGGCGGGAUCGCAAGUCAGAUGUGAAAACUAUGGGCUUAACCCAUAAACUGCAUUUGAAACUGUGGUUCUUGAGUGAAGUAGAGGUAAGCGGAAUUCCUAGUGUAGUGGUGAAAUGCGUGGAUAUUAGGAGGAACAUCAGUGGCGAAGGCGGCUUACUGGGCUUUAACUGACGCUGAGGCUCGAAAGCGUGGGGAGCAAACAGGAUUAGAUACCCUGGUAGUCCACGCCGUAAACGAUGAUUACUAGGUGUGGGGGGACUGACCCCUUCCGUGCCGCAGCAAACGCAAUAAGUAAUCCACCUGGGAGUACGACCGCAAGGUUGAAACUCAAAGGAAUUGACGGGGGCCCGCACAAGCAGUGGAGUAUGUGGAUUAAUUCGAAGCAACGCGAAGAACCUUACCAGGUCUUGACAUCGUAUGCAUAGCUCAGAGAUGAGUGAAAUCUCUUCGGAGACAUAUAGACAGGUGGUGCAUGGUUGUCGUCAGCUCGUGUCGUGAGAUGUUGGGUUAAGUCCCGCAACGAGCGCAACCCUUACUGUUAGUUGCUACGCAAGAGCACUCUAGCAGGACUGCCGUUGACAAAACGGAGGAAGGUGGGGAUGACGUCAAAUCAUCAUGCCCCUUAUGACCUGGGCCUCACACGUACUACAAUGGCUGUUAACAGAGGGAUGCAAAGCCGCGAGGUGGAGCGAACCCCUAAAAGCGGUCCCAGUUCGGAUAGCAGGCUGCAACCCGCCUGCGUGAAGUUGGAAUUGCUAGUAAUCGCGGAUCAGCAUGCCGCGGUGAAUACGAAGGGGGGCCUUGUACUCACCGCCCGUCA
This 1379-nucleotide ribosomal RNA is filed under the name uncultured bacterium. RNAcentral's name for it is "16S ribosomal RNA". It matches the Rfam family "Bacterial small subunit ribosomal RNA". The record is from RNAcentral.